AGGGGAUAACAUCCGGAAACGGGUGCUAAUACCGCAUAGUUUUUCUUGAUCGCAUGAUCGGGAAAGGAAAGACGGCCUUUUGUGCUGUCGCUUAUGGAUGGACCCGCGGCGUAUUAGUUAGUUGGUGAGGUAACGGCUCACCAAGACGAUGAUACGUAGCCGACCUGAGAGGGUGAUCGGCCACAUUGGGACUGAGACACGGCCCAAACUCCUACGGGAGGCAGCAGUAGGGAAUCUUCCGCAAUGGACGAAAGUCUGACGGAGCAACGCCGCGUGAGUGAAGAAGGUUUUUCCGGAUCGUAAAACUCUGUUGUCAGAGAAGAACAAGUUGGAGAGUAACUGCUCCAGCCUUGACGGUAUCUGACCAGAAAGCCACGGCUAACUACGUGCCAGCAGCAGC
This 400-nucleotide ribosomal RNA is filed under the name uncultured bacterium. RNAcentral describes it as "bacterial SSU rRNA". It matches the Rfam family "Bacterial small subunit ribosomal RNA", at positions 138 to 518 of the family's 1533-position model. The record is from RNAcentral.